This 334-nucleotide unclassified non-coding RNA is filed under the name soil metagenome. RNAcentral's name for it is "partial contains 5.8S ribosomal RNA, internal transcribed spacer 2, and large subunit ribosomal RNA". The stretch from base 1 to 120 matches the Rfam family "5.8S ribosomal RNA", at positions 35 to 154 of the family's 154-position model. The record is from RNAcentral.
GAUGAAGAACGUAGUGAAAUGCGAUAAGUAAUGUGAAUUGCAGAAUUUAGUGAAUCAUCGAAUCUUUGAACGCACAUUGCGCCCGCCAGUAUUCUGGCGGGCAUGCCUGUUCGAGCGUCAUUUCAACCAUCAAGCCCCCGGCUUGUGUUGGGGACCUGCGGCUGCCGCAGGCCCUGAAAACCAGUGGCGGGCUCGCUAGUCACUCCGAGCGUAGUAAUACAUCUCGCUCAGGGCGUGCUGCGGGUUCCGGCCGUUAAAAGCCUUAUUUACCCAAGGUUGACCUCGGAUCAGGUAGGAAGACCCGCUGAACUUAAGCAUAUCAAUAAGCGGAGGA